RNAcentral lists this ribosomal RNA (253 nucleotides) under uncultured bacterium. RNAcentral's name for it is "partial 16S ribosomal RNA". It matches the Rfam family "Bacterial small subunit ribosomal RNA", at positions 524 to 776 of the family's 1533-position model. The record is from RNAcentral.
UACGUAGGGGGCUAGCGUUGUCCGGAAUCAUUGGGCGUAAAGAGCGUGUAGGCGGUCCGGUAAGUCCGUUGUGAAAGUCAGGGGCUCAACCCUUGAAUGCCGGCGGAUACUGUCGGGCUAGAGUCCGGAAGAGGCAAGUGGAAUUCCCGGUGUAGCGGUGAAAUGCGCAGAUAUCGGGAGGAACACCGGUGGCGAAGGCGGGUCUCUGGGCCGAUACUGACGCUGAGGUGCGAAAGCGUGGGGAGCAAACAGG